RNAcentral lists this ribosomal RNA (509 nucleotides) under Ilybius walsinghami. Its description in RNAcentral is "partial 16S ribosomal RNA". It matches the Rfam family "Bacterial large subunit ribosomal RNA", at positions 1819 to 2597 of the family's 2925-position model. The record is from RNAcentral. Lineage: Eukaryota; Metazoa; Arthropoda; Insecta; Coleoptera; Dytiscidae.
GUCCUUUUGAAUUUAAUUUAAGGUUUAACCUGCCCACUGAUUAAUUGAAGGGCCGCAGUAUUUUGACUGUGCAAAGGUAGCAUAAUCAUUAGUUUUUUAAUUAAAAGCUUGUAUGAAGGGUUGGACGAGGUAGAUUCUGUCUCUAAAUAAUUUAUUUUAGAAUUUAAUUUUUAAGUUAAAAAGCUUAAAUAAUUUUAAAAGACGAGAAGACCCUAUAGAUCUUUAUAAUAUAUUUAUUAAUUUUAUUAAGGAUUAAUUUAUUUUUUAAAUAUUUAUAUUAUUUUAUUGGGGUAAUGAAAAGAUUUAAAUAAUUCUUUUUUAUUCAUACAUUGAUAAAUGAUUAAAUGAUCCAAUAUUAUUGAUUAAAAGAUUAAGUUACCUUAGGGAUAACAGCGUAAUUUUUUUUGAGAGUUCAUAUCGAUAAGAAAGUUUGCGACCUCGAUGUUGGAUUAAAGAUUAUUUUAGGUGCAGAAGUUUAAAAUUUUGGUCUGUUCGACCAUUGAAUCUUU